Molecule: ribosomal RNA, 568 nt
Filed under: uncultured bacterium
Lineage: Bacteria
Description: partial 16S ribosomal RNA
Rfam family: Bacterial small subunit ribosomal RNA
Source: RNAcentral
UGGGGAAUUUUGGACAAUGGGCGAAAGCCUGAUCCAGCAAUGCCGCGUGUGUGAAGAAGGCCUUCGGGUUGUAAAGCACUUUUGUCCGGAAAGAAAUCCUUGGCUCUAAUACAGUCGGGGGAUGACGGUACCGGAAGAAUAAGCACCGGCUAACUACGUGCCAGCAGCCGCGGUAAUACGUAGGGUGCAAGCGUUAAUCGGAAUUACUGGGCGUAAAGCGUGCGCAGGCGGUUUGCUAAGACCGAUGUGAAAUCCCCGGGCUCAACCUGGGAACUGCAUUGGUGACUGGCAGGCUAGAGUAUGGCAGAGGGGGGUAGAAUUCCACGUGUAGCAGUGAAAUGCGUAGAGAUGUGGAGGAAUACCGAUGGCGAAGGCAGCCCCCUGGGCCAAUACUGACGCUCAUGCACGAAAGCGUGGGGAGCAAACAGGAUUAGAUACCCUGGUAGUCCACGCCCUAAACGAUGUCAACUAGUUGUUGGGGGACUUCAUUUUCCUUAGUAACGUAGCUAACGCGUGAAGUUGACCGCCUGGGGAGUACGGUCGCAAGAUUAAAACUCAAGGAAUUGAC